This is a long non-coding RNA of Salvelinus fontinalis (brook trout), 2425 nucleotides long. RefSeq lists it as uncharacterized. The transcript is spliced from 3 exons. The record is from RefSeq and is a predicted model, not a curated record. NCBI's taxonomy places the organism in Eukaryota, Metazoa, Chordata, Actinopteri, Salmoniformes, Salmonidae.
GGUUUCCCCUUGCUCUGCAAGGGCCGCGGCUUUUGUGGAGCGAUGGGUAACGAUGCUUCGUGGGUCCCUGGUUCGGGCCCGGGGCGAGGGGACGGACUAAAGUUAUACUGUUACACCGAUAGUCUCUUACACCGAUAGUCUCUUACACCGAUAGUCUCUGAUCGAAUGGCGACAAAAACGUUGUGUUUACUGGGUGGUAAGCCUUGCGAAAUGUUUGGUAAAUUGCCGCGUGCCGCUUAGGCAACCCACUGUGACCCGCUUGUGGGCGUGCUUGCGGCAUGUUCAGAGUGUGGCAAGAAUUCAGCAUCGCAAGUUCGUAUGAAGGUCUGGUUAUUAAAUGGGUAACGUUAAAUAGUUCAAUAGUAAUAAGCUCUAAAACGCUCUGGUGACAAACUUUGCUGCCCUGUUUCCAAUUGUCCACAUGGCUGGGAGAACCUACUCAAGUAAGUAAAUACAUUUCGAAAAUGUAAAAAAACAACAAUGUGCAGGCUAACUCAAAUGAGCUGCUAAAUGAGGUCGCUAGUUGGCUAGCUAGCUAUCUAGCCAAUUUUACAAACUGUAUAGAUAGGUAGCUGGUGAUAUUUAAUUCACUUAUCUAGCUAAUAUGAAGUUAGCUAGCUAUCCCGAUGUUUUUAUCGCUGUAAAAAAACUCCAAAUGCAUUUGUAGGUUGCUAGCUAACAGCCAUGGAGGAGGGUGAAAGGAUAGCAGCCCCAACUGUCAAAAUGAGUAGGCUAUUCUGGAUAGGGCAGGUACUUUUGUGUAGUUCCUGUCCCUAGAAGUGAGUACGGAGAUAAUAGUAAGAUAAUAUUCAGUGUGGUGUAAUUUGAGUAUAAUGAAGUCUGUUUCUUGUGAGGUUUUCUGUCCUCAGAUAAAGAUAGCUAUUAAAGCCUGCCUACAGAUGAAGAGGUCCCAAUGAAGAGUGUGUUGUGCAGGCUCAGGUGUAUAACUGGCGCCUCACACCUUCAAAGAAUAGUUAUAUCAGCUGUGUUGGUGAACCCCUCCCGCAUCUGAACUGGCUACAUAGAGGGCACAGCAUGAUCAGAGGUUUCCAUGUCUUCUCCCUGGAUCUCCUCAAUGUCCACCUCUUGAACAUCAGACUCUGAGGCCUCAUCUUCACUGUCACUUUCCAACCUUGUUGAGGAUGGCUCGUUGUCAGGCUCAAAAAACCUCAAAUUUGCCCGGAUGGACACCAAUUCUUCAACCCUUGUAUUGGUCAGCCUGUUGCGUGCUUUGGUGUGUGUGUUCCCAAACAAGGACCAAUUGCGCUUUGAGGCGGCUGAUGUUGGUGGGAUUUGGAGGAUGAUGGAGGCAACAGGGGAAAUAGCCUCAGAUCCACAAAGUCCCUUCCACCAGGUGGCUGAUGUUGGCACGACUGCCAUAUUGCAUCUCCAUCCCAAAGCCAUGGCUUGGAAGUGUACUUCGCCAGACUGCCAAGCACCUUUCCCUCAUCCAGGCCAAGGUGGCGAGACAUGGUAGUGAUGAUCCAUAGGGUUUGUUGAUCUCUGCACCUGACAGGAUGCUCUUGCCAGCAUACUUGGGGUCCAACAUGUACGCUGCGACGUGUAUGGGCUUCAGGCAGAAGUCUUCACGCUUUUUGAUAUAUUUCAGAACUGCAGUUUCCUCUGCUUGGAGCAACAGUGAAGUGGGCAGGGCAGUACGGAUUUCUUCUCUUACAUCUAUCUGCAAGCAGAGUCUGAACAUCAGACAGGAUGGCAUUGUCUCCUUCAAUCCGUGCAAUGGCUACUGCUAUAGGUUUCAGGAGUUUCAGGCUGCUUACCACUCUCUCCCAAAAUACAUAAUCCAGACUGACAUGGCCAUUUCUUGGAGAGACUCCUAGGCUACUAUUUACUAGUUAACAAAAUAUAAUGUAUGUCAUAUCAAAUAUAUUCACCCCACCCAGUAUUGUAAUCAAAACUUACAGGAAAGCAAGUAGUCCUUGGCUCAGACAGUGUAGUAGUGUGGGCUCAAUAGCAUUCCAUUAGUGUGCAAGAUCUUGAGAAUCAGCUGUACAUGUGAUGGAAGAAUGCACUGUGCAUGCAGAGGGUUGCAAUUCCAUUGAAUUAUGGAUAGUUUAACCAAAAUAUGCCACAAGACCUAGAAUUGCCUUAUGUGUAUACCAUAAAAAGACUCACUGUUAUAAGCUAAUGUUUUAGAUGAAUUUAAGCAAAAUUCCCCAAAUUCCAGGGUUUAACUUCCCAUGGAAAAUUUCCAGAACAAUUCCGGAAAUGUAUCGGAAAGUUUCAGACGCUUUGCAACCGUUGUGUCUAUGGGUAUUGGAACGGUUUAAAGUCCAGAUUAAACUGUACUUUCACCAUGUACACUACCGGUCAAAAGUUUUUGAACACCUACUCAUUCAAGGGUUUUUCUUUAUUUUUACUAUUUUCUACAUUGUAGAAUAAUAGUGAAGACAUCAAAACUAUGAAA